This 429-nucleotide ribosomal RNA is filed under the name Pseudomonadota bacterium. RNAcentral describes it as "Proteobacteria bacterium partial 16S ribosomal RNA". It matches the Rfam family "Bacterial small subunit ribosomal RNA", at positions 355 to 776 of the family's 1533-position model. The record is from RNAcentral. Lineage: Bacteria; Pseudomonadati; Pseudomonadota.
UGGGGAAUAUUGGACAAUGGGCGAAAGCCUGAUCCAGCCAUGCCGCGUGUGUGAAGAAGGUCUUCGGAUUGUAAAGCACUUUAAGUUGGGAGGAAGGGCAGUAAGCGAAUACCUUGCUGUUUUGACGUUACCGACAGAAUAAGCACCGGCUAACUCUGUGCCAGCAGCCGCGGUAAUACAGAGGGUGCAAGCGUUAAUCGGAAUUACUGGGCGUAAAGCGCGCGUAGGUGGUUCGUUAAGUUGAAUGUGAAAGCCCCGGGCUCAACCUGGGAACUGCAUCCAAAACUGGCGAGAUAGAGUAGGGCAGAGGGUGGUGGAAUUUCCUGUGUAGGGAUGAAAUGCGUAGAUAUAGAAAGGAACACCAGUGGCGAAGGCGACCACCUGGGCUCAUACUGACACUGAGGUGCGAAAGCGUGGGGAGCAAACAGG